RNAcentral lists this ribosomal RNA (468 nucleotides) under uncultured bacterium. RNAcentral describes it as "partial 16S ribosomal RNA". It matches the Rfam family "Bacterial small subunit ribosomal RNA", at positions 28 to 507 of the family's 1533-position model. The record is from RNAcentral.
GACGAACGCUGGCGGCGUGCUUAACACAUGCAAGUCGAACGGAAAGGCCCUGCUUUUGUGGGGUGCUCGAGUGGCGAACGGGUGAGUAACACGUGAGUAACCUGCCCUUGACUUUGGGAUAACUUCAGGAAACUGGGGCUAAUACCGGAUAGGAGCUCCUGCUGCAUGGUGGGGGUUGGAAAGUUUCGGCGGUUGGGGAUGGACUCGCGGCUUAUCAGCUUGUUGGUGGGGUAGUGGCUUACCAAGGCUUUGACGGGUAGCCGGCCUGAGAGGGUGACCGGCCACCUUGGGACUGCGAUACGGCCCAGACUCCUACGGGAGGCAGCAGUGGGGAAUCUUGCACAAUGGGCGGAAGCCUGAUGCAGCAACGCCGCGUGCGUGAUGACGGCCUUCGGGUUGUAAACCGCUUUCGCCUGUGACGAAGCGUGAGUGACGGUAAUGGGUAAAGAAGCACCGGCUAACUACGUG